Molecule: ribosomal RNA, 253 nt
Filed under: uncultured bacterium
Lineage: Bacteria
Description: partial 16S ribosomal RNA
Rfam family: Bacterial small subunit ribosomal RNA
Source: RNAcentral
UACGAAGGGGGCUAGCGUUGCUCGGAAUCACUGGGCGUAAAGCGCACGUAGGCGGCUUUCUAAGUCAGGGGUGAAAUCCUGGAGCUCAACUCCAGAACUGCCUUUGAUACUGGAGAGCUUGAGUCCGGGAGAGGUGAGUGGAACUCCGAGUGUAGAGGUGAAUUUCGUAGAUAUUCGGAAGAACACCAGUGGCGAAGGCGGCUCACUGGCCCGGUACUGACGCUGAGGCACGAAAGCGUGGGGAGCAAACAGG